This 189-nucleotide small RNA is filed under the name Oryza sativa Japonica Group (Japanese rice). RNAcentral describes it as "sRNA Os02g0823950". Lineage: Eukaryota; Viridiplantae; Streptophyta; Magnoliopsida; Poales; Poaceae. The record is from RNAcentral.
GCGGCUGCGGCGGCGGCGGCGCGGGCGCGGGCGCGGCGAGCACCGGAGGCUGCGCAGGCGGCGGCGGCGGCGGCGCUGGCGUGGACGGCUUGGAGUCGACGACGGCGGCGCCCUGAGCAAGCAGGAUGAGGCAGUGCGCCAUGUCCUCCUCCUCGGUGGUGGUGCUCUCGGAGGAGGAGGCCGGCGCCG